This 73-nucleotide transfer RNA is filed under the name Microcaldota archaeon. Its description in RNAcentral is "Candidatus Micrarchaeota archaeon tRNA-Val". It matches the Rfam family "tRNA". Rfam says of the family: Transfer RNA (tRNA) molecules are approximately 80 nucleotides in length. Their secondary structure includes four short double-helical elements and three loops (D, anti-codon, and T loops). Further hydrogen bonds mediate the characteristic L-shaped molecular structure. tRNAs have two regions of fundamental functional importance: the anti-codon, which is responsible for specific mRNA codon recognition, and the 3' end, to which the tRNAs corresponding amino acid is attached (by aminoacyl-tRNA synthetases). tRNAs cope with the degeneracy of the genetic code in two manners: having more than one tRNA (with a specific anti-codon) for a particular amino acid; and 'wobble' base-pairing, i.e. permitting non-standard base-pairing at the 3rd anti-codon position. Lineage: Archaea; Nanobdellati; Microcaldota. The record is from RNAcentral. RNAcentral also lists the same sequence under 1 other name.
GGGCCCGUGGUCUAGCGGUUAGGACACUGCCUUCACACGGCAGAGAUCAAGGGUUCAAAUCCCUUCGGGCCCA